GGCGCGCGGUGGGCUGUCAGGGAAGGCUCGUGCGGACCCGCCGCGCCUCCGGCCUCGCCCCACGGCCGCGCUCCCCGCCGCCCGCCCUCCCGCGCGUCAGGCUAGGAGACGGCUGGCUCGGCUCCUAGCCGCCGCGGACGCGACCGGGAAGCAGCACUUUCAGGGACUCGGCUGGCGCGUUCGAGCCCUUCUUCCAGCGAAUCGUGGCUCACCCGUCCCUCGCACCGGACACCGUCCCUGUCUGUCCCCGGCCGGUCCUCACUGCCCCCCGGGAGCCCUUUCCGAAGUAGCAGCGCCCACCCGCUGGCUUGACUGGCUGCGGCGCGCUGUGUUCUUUCGGGGCGCCGGGCAGGAGCCCCCCACGUCCGACGACAAGUAAAGCCUCCGGGGAGAAGCGCUGGGUGGCAUAGCAGCCCUCCUCAAGUCAGCCGCCACCUCCCCUCUGUCCUCGACCCUUUCUGCCCUGAACCACCCCGCCGGGCACACAUACACACAGGGGCCAUGGUGCCAGUCUGCAGCAGGAGACAGAGAAGGAAACGGUCACACGGGAAACUGUGGGCCCUCGCCCCCAUUCUACGCCUUGGCAGGAAGAGCCCUGGAGGCCCGGCAGAGCAACGAGCCACUUGCAGAGGAUGAGAAGGGCCCAUUUCCCACUGGACAUCCACUUGCGAGGAAGGUGCAGUGUCAUGACAACUGUGGUCACCCCCAGGCCACUGAGCCUUGAGAAGACAUGGCAGGGGGUCACCUGAGGCUGCUUCCACAAGUGAGGCCUCGGGCCACUCAGGUGGGACUCAAGGGGAUCUUUUCCCACGGCAAUGCACCUGGGCCGUCCACCAGGCCUCCAAGCUCCCACAUCAUAUGUUCUAUGAAACCCACGUGAAUGUUGCCCUGGAGACGGAGAGAACCUGCGGCAGCUUUGAAUGCAGCUUACAUGCAAGAGGGAGAACAGGUCACCCCAGAAAGCCCAUGACGUCCGAGGUUUGCUCCCUCUGGUGCCCAGAUGCCAGACUGCUCUGGACACCACCGUCUGGGGCGGGGUGAGCAGCUCUGACCGGGUGCAGACCUGAAAACCGCCUGGAUGGAGUGAACUAGGGGACAACGUGCCAGGACAUCCCACAACCGAGGGCAGGGCUCCCCCUGAAGACAGACGCCACCGGGCAGGAGCAAAGUGCCGGGAGGAAACACGGACUUGACAGAAGAGGCUUCGAGCAUCUCACUAUGAGACAUGAAGAUUUCUGACGUGUGCCAAAAUGCUUGGGGUGAUUUUUGGGAAACCCAGCAAGAGCUCAGCUGCCUCGUGAAACGCAUCUGCGGAAGGGGAAGAAGUUUGCCGAACCCCGCCCUAGGCCAAAAGAGGUAUUCCUUGCGGGCAGCAAACCGUUUGGAAGCCGAGAAAUAUAUUUUUACUCAUAAUCUUCAGGUCGGUUAUUCUACUCCUGGGAGUGUGUCACAACGAAACAGUGCAGUAAAUUGUAGCUCAUUUUCCCUGCAAUAGAGUUCUGUAAAUGGCAGUGUGGCCCACAUUCUCCCCAAACUUAGCAGCUUAAAACAACCGUAAACGUUUGCUGUGUCACACAGUUCUGUGGGCCAGGCGUUCGGAAGUGGCUCGGCAGGGUGGUGCUGUCUCCGGGGCUCUCAGGAGGCUGCAGUCGAGCUCUGGGCCUGGGCUGCAGUGGUCUGAAGGCUGGACUGGGGCGGGAGGCCCCACUCCCAAGACGGUGCCCUCAUGUGGCUGGCUUAACAGCUGGCUCUCCCAGUGGAGUUGUUUUUUUUAUUAUUAUUAUUUUUUAACGUUUAUUCUUGAGAGACAGAGAGACACAGAGCAUGAGCAGAGGAGGGACAGAGAGAGAGAGGGAGACACAGAAUCCGAAGGGCUCCAGGCUCCGACGCGGGGCUUGAACUCACGAACUGUGAGAUCAUGACCUGAGCCAAAGUCAGUCACCUAACUGACUGAGCCACCCAGGUGCCCCUCUACCAGUGGAGUUCUGACAAGAAUGUUGGUUUUAAUUCACGUUAAUGAUGAGGAUAAAAGUGAAUAGCAGUGGUGUGUGUCAGAACUUCACUCGUGCAUCCCCCAGGCAAGCCACACUGUUGCUGACUUGAAUACUACUGUUCUAAUGCUGGAAGAAUAUUUCCCUAAGUUUUUGUGUUCUUAAUGAAAUGGCUCGGGAUAGGAGACACUUUUCAACUUAGUUUGCAUUAUUAACAUUUUCGCCACCACUUUCUUAAUCUAGACAAUCAACAAAAUGUUAAAUUAAACCCUAGUGUUUCCUGUUUACCCGGUUCCAUGACGUAAGUUCACGCAUGAUGGUUGAUUUCAAAUUAUCGACACAGCACGUCCAUCAUGCGGAUUUAAGCAGACGUAAAAAACCUUAAGAGCACUGAUAAUAGUACAGUGUAGCCAAACCGUGACGUCUUGUAUAUUGCCAUUUGCAUUGUUUUGAUUUAUAACUUAUAGUUUUAUAAUCUUAUAACAGGAAAUUUAUGUUCAGUCUUCUGUUCCUAGCACUGAGCUCCCAAAACAUUUAUACGUUCCUAAGUGGUGACCUCAGGUAAGGCGUGUUGUGUUGUGUUGUGUUGUGUUGUGUUGUGUUGUAUUGUGUGAGCAAGGUGACUUUGGAAAGGACCUGAGGAUGGGGACUGGUUGCCGAGAGAACCAUCCAUGGGAUUCGAGGGUUGGAACUUUCAGGCCCCCCUCCCAGCCUCCUGGGAAGGGACAGGGGCUGGAAAUUGAGUUCAAGUGCCAGCGGCCAAUGGGCAGAGAACCCAAAACGCUUCCGGGUUGGUGUCCCGGGAGGUGCCGGGAGAGCAGUGCCGUCAGAGAGCACGGACGCUUCGCACCGUGGCCCUGUGUAUGUGUUCAUCUGGCUCCUGUAUCAUGUUCCGUAUAAUGAACUGGUAGAUGUCGGUGUUUUUGUGAGCUCUGUGAGCCAUUCUAGUGAGUUAAUUGAAGAAGCGGUUGUGGGAACGUCCAGUUUAUGGCCGGUGGGUCAGAAGCACAGGUGACCACAUGAAGUUGUGACUGGGGUCUAGAGUCAGGGAGUGGGGGCGUUCUUGCAGGACUGAGCCCUUAAGCUGUGGGUUCUGAUGCUGUUCUCCAGAGAGAGAGUGUCAGGGUGAAGUUAACUGCUUGGUAGUGUGAAAAAAAAAUAAAACAAAACUGGGGCGCCUGGGGGGCUCAGUCGGUUAAGUUUCCGACUUCAGCUGCGGUCAUGAUCUCCACACUGUGGGUUCGAGCCCCGCAUUGGGCUCUAUAGCAACAGCUCAGAGCUUGGAGCCUGCUUCAGAUUCUGUGUCUCCUUCUCUCUCUCUCUCUUUCUCUCUGCCCCUCCCUUGCUCAUUCUCUCUCUCUCUCUCUCUGCCUCAAAAAUAAAUAAAUGUUAAACCCUGCCCCACACUUUGGAAUUGAUAUCAAAAUUGUACUACAGUUUUUUAUUGUUAUUUAUUUACCAGCUUAUGCAAUUGAAUUUUUAAUAAGAGCCGUGUUUAGCUGGUUCACAAAAUUCUUGAUAAUUUAAUAUUCGGCUCUCGUGAGCUGAGCUGAGCUGAGCCAGCUCUAGCACACCUCUGGCAGGGGCCUCGAUUCCUUGUCGGCUGUUGGCAAAAGCCUCGGUUCCGGGCCACGUGGACUUCUCCCUGAGGCCGUGUGAGUGUCCUCCCAAGACGGUGGCUGGCUUCUCCCAGCCUGAGCGGUCCAAGACGGAGAGAUAGAGGUACAGUGUCUCGUGAGCUAGCCUCAUUACUCACUCGUCAGUUCCGCAAAACCUUGCUGCCUUUAUGGGUCAGCCCUAUUUACAGCGAUGGCUAGCCCGGCAGGCCCCGCCUGUGCCGAGACCCCGCCUCUGCUCUCAACCAGACCAUUUCCCCUGGACUUUUCUAGGCUUUCUACUUGUCCUUUCGUUAGCUUUCCUACAGAUUGGGGGAUGUUAGUGAGCAUUAUCAGGAUUUGCGUGGCCUCUCUUCAGGGCUUCAGCUGGUACCCGAGGAAGGUGUGUGGGGAAAGACAGGAGCCACACAGCACUUCGCCAUGAUAUUUUCUUUGGCCCCGUGAAACGUUGUGUCAAGGUUGUAUUCUGAAUUUUUCCUCAUUCAGUUUCUGCUGGUCGGAUUUUUUGCUGGAGGGGAUGUUUAAGAAAUAAGACUGUCAUUUAUUGAGACUGAAUUCCAGGAAGGAAGGGAGGGGAGUUUUCUACAGCGGGACGUUGGCGGCCACCACACCACAGUGUCUUCAGACAGAUUAAGUACAGACUAAGAGCUGGUCCGAGAGCUUCCGCACUGUGCUGGGCGGCCUCUGACUGGCCCUCCAAACCCCAAAUGCUCAUGCUCUGUCAUGACCUCCCUCAGUCUCCUCCCGGUUUUAUUGAAAUACAAUUGACAUUUAAGCUUGUGUAAGUUUAAGGUACACAACGUAAUGGCCCAAUAUAUGUAUAUACGUGAAACUGUCACACAAUUAAGCUCAGUUAGUGUCCACCUUACAGACUUAGGGUAUUUUUGCUUGUGGUGAGAACUUUUAAGAUCUACUCUCUUGCUAACUGUCAGAUAUACAAUAAAUACAGUGUUGUUAACCACAGUCACCAUACUCUCCUUACUUCUCUUGUAACUGGAAGUUUGUGCCUUUGCCUCCCCUUGCCCAGUUCCCUCACCCACCCCCACCCGCUGCCCCCGGCCACCACGGAUCUCUUCUGUCUCUGUGAGUUUGGUUUCUUUCAGGAUUCCACACAUGAGUGAGAUCAUGCGGGAUUUGUCUUUCUCUGUCUGGCUUAUUUCACUGUGCAUAAUGCCCUCAAGGCCCAUUUAUGUUGCUGCAGAUAGCAGGAUUUUCCUUUUUUUUUUUUUUUUAAUUUUAACAUUUAUUCAUUUUUGAGACAGAGCAUGAAUGGGGGAAGGUCAGAGAGAGAGAG
Long non-coding RNA from Prionailurus viverrinus (fishing cat), 4901 nucleotides. RefSeq lists it as uncharacterized. Lineage: Eukaryota; Metazoa; Chordata; Mammalia; Carnivora; Felidae. The transcript is spliced from 7 exons. The record is from RefSeq and is a predicted model, not a curated record.